RNAcentral lists this long non-coding RNA (243 nucleotides) under Homo sapiens (human). RNAcentral describes it as "non-protein coding lnc-ARAP2-4:1". The record is from RNAcentral. Lineage: Eukaryota; Metazoa; Chordata; Mammalia; Primates; Hominidae.
GGAAGAUUCUAGGAGAUUGUCUCCAGAUUCAGCUCCUGGUUAUCAAUGCACAUUUAACUUGUGCAUUUAACUACAAUGGAAAUACUGUUAUGCAGAGCAUCUUGGAAGCUUAUGUAAAAAAGAUCGAGAAGAAAAAAGACUAUAUUCCUUUUGUACAUGUAUGCAACAAUUAAGUAAUGGAUUUUCGCUCAACAAACUUGCAAAGCACAUGUUUGGCUGCUAUGACAUUUCUACUGCAUGAAG